RNAcentral lists this ribosomal RNA (301 nucleotides) under uncultured bacterium. RNAcentral describes it as "partial 16S ribosomal RNA". It matches the Rfam family "Bacterial small subunit ribosomal RNA", at positions 509 to 809 of the family's 1533-position model. The record is from RNAcentral.
CAGCAGCCGCGGUAAUACGUAGGGUGCAAGCGUUAUCCGGAAUUAUUGGGCGUAAAGAGCUCGUAGGCGGUUUGUCGCGUCUGCUGUGAAAACUGGAGGCUCAACCUCCAGCCUGCAGUGGGUACGGGCAGACUAGAGUGCGGUAGGGGAGAUUGGAAUUCCUGGUGUAGCGGUGGAAUGCGCAGAUAUCAGGAGGAACACCGAUGGCGAAGGCAGAUCUCUGGGCCGUAACUGACGCUGAGGAGCGAAAGCGUGGGGAGCAAACAGGAUUAGAUACCCGUGUAGUCCCUGUCUCUUAUAU